RNAcentral lists this ribosomal RNA (492 nucleotides) under uncultured bacterium. RNAcentral's name for it is "partial 16S ribosomal RNA". It matches the Rfam family "Bacterial small subunit ribosomal RNA", at positions 29 to 507 of the family's 1533-position model. The record is from RNAcentral.
AGUGAACGCUGGCGGUAGGCCUAACACAUGCAAGUCGGACGGCAGCACAGUAAGAGCUUGCUCUUACGGGUGGCGAGUGGCGGACGGGUGAGGAAUACAUCGGAACCUACUUUUUCGUGGGGGAUAACGUAGGGAAACUUACGCUAAUACCGCAUACGACCUACGGGUGAAAGCAGGGGAUCUUCGGACCUUGCGCGAUUGAAUGAGCCGAUGUCGGAUUAGCUAGUUGGCGGGGUAAAGGCCCACCAAGGCGACGAUCCGUAGCUGGUCUGAGAGGAUGAUCAGCCACACUGGAACUGAGACACGGUCCAGACUCCUACGGGAGGCAGCAGUGGGGAAUAUUGGACAAUGGGCGCAAGCCUGAUCCAGCCAUACUGCGUGGGUGAAGAAGGCCUUCGGGUUGUAAAGCCCUUUUGUUGGGAAAGAAAAGCAGCAGGUUAAUACCCCGCUGUUCUGACGGUACCCAAAGAAUAAGCACCGGCUAACUUCGUG